RNAcentral lists this unclassified non-coding RNA (627 nucleotides) under Amphibalanus amphitrite. RNAcentral's name for it is "uncharacterized LOC122393080, transcript variant X1". Lineage: Eukaryota; Metazoa; Arthropoda; Thecostraca; Balanomorpha; Balanidae. The record is from RNAcentral.
AUGAUGCAACCCAUUCUGUUUCUCCUGCUGGUCUGGACAACGGUAGAUGGCGCUAGUUACCAUCGCGCCAAUGCGGCAUCAGGUCGGUCCUCUAUGGAGCUACCACUCUCCCCGCUGACCGACAACCAGCGCCUCUGGCGGCUGCCCGAGGAAGCUAGCCGACCGGCCGCGGCGCCCCAGGGCCUAUUGCGCCCCUGGUGGGUAGGCCGGCCCGCCACACUAGGCCGCGGCGAACAGGCGUGGGGGUCGCAAGACAGCACAGGAGGGUCUGAUGCUAUCUCCGCGAGGUCAACCCGAAACCAACAACAUUACGCCAAGCGUGGAAUGAACGUGCGCAUGUGUGGAGCGCAGUUGACCGACUUCAUCGAGAGCCUCUGCCACGAUCGUCGCAGGCGGAGCGGCAGCGCAGUCACCGUGCGGCAAAUCUCCUCUGCUAUGAGCCGUGAAAGCAUCGUAGAGGCCUGCUGCCACAGACCGUGUUCGAUUCGGGAGCUAUACGAGUUCGUCCAGCCAACAUGUGGCGUUAUGCAUAACAGCUCUCCUCAAAUCGCAUAUACCAGGGUCUCGGCACCAGCGGGUGGUCAGCCGACAUCCCCUGUCACUGAGAGCCACAGAGUUGUGACCAUG